GUCCAGCUGAUAAGUCCCAAACAAGACGAAACGCAUGUCCUGUAU
RNAcentral lists this non-coding RNA (45 nucleotides) under Schistosoma margrebowiei. The record is from RNAcentral. Lineage: Eukaryota; Metazoa; Platyhelminthes; Trematoda; Strigeidida; Schistosomatidae.